GUCCUAGCCGUAAACGAUGGGUACUAAGUGUCGGCCGAUCGACCCGGUCGGUGCUGCAGCUAACGCGUUAAGUACCCCGCCUGGGGAGUACGACCGCAAGGUUGAAACUCAAAGGAAUUGACGGGGGCCCGCACAAGCGGUGGAGCAUGUGGUUUAAUUCGACGCAACGCGAAGAACCUUACCCAGGCUUGACAUACUAGGGACAGUCCCAGAGAUGGGAUCUUCCUUCGGGACCCUAGAACAGGUGCUGCAUGGCUGUCGU
RNAcentral lists this ribosomal RNA (262 nucleotides) under uncultured bacterium. RNAcentral describes it as "partial 16S ribosomal RNA". It matches the Rfam family "Bacterial small subunit ribosomal RNA", at positions 793 to 1055 of the family's 1533-position model. The record is from RNAcentral.